RNAcentral lists this ribosomal RNA (204 nucleotides) under uncultured bacterium. Its description in RNAcentral is "partial 16S ribosomal RNA". It matches the Rfam family "Bacterial small subunit ribosomal RNA", at positions 524 to 723 of the family's 1533-position model. The record is from RNAcentral.
UACGUAGGUGGCAAGCGUUGUCCGGAUUUACUGGGCGUAAAGAGCGCGCAGGCGGUUGUUUAAGUCGAAUGGUGAAAGCCCCCGGCUCAACUGGGGAGGGUCAUUCGAUACUGAUCGACUUGAAGGCAGGAGAGGGAAGUGGAAUUCCGGGUGUAGUGGUGGAAAUGCGUAGAGUAUCCGGAAGGAACACCAGUGGCGAAGGCG